This 700-nucleotide long non-coding RNA is filed under the name Equus caballus (horse). RNAcentral describes it as "lncRNA (ENSECAG00000058096.1)". The record is from RNAcentral. Lineage: Eukaryota; Metazoa; Chordata; Mammalia; Perissodactyla; Equidae.
CCGGCCGCCGCCAUCUUGGUAAAGGACGGGGACACCGCCCAGCCGCCCGCCCACCAUCUUGGCAAAGGGUCUGGGUAGCGGGUGGCCGAAGUCGUUGUUCCUCUCCCCGAAGGGUGAACGCUGCUCCGUGCGUUGUCCAAUAUGAAAGGAAAGAACUAGGCUUUUGGCAAGCCGCCUGUCCGGAGCCCGUCUACACGGGCAGCCUCCAGACCGUUUUGGGCCGCCAUCUUGGCAAAGGAAGCGACGCUCCCCGCCGCGGGAAAACGGGAACCAAAGCGUUUGCCAAAGUAGAAGCCUCAGCCAGUAGAGUUUUUAUGAAGGGCGCUCAACAGUCCACUUGUUAACCAAAGCUCCUUCUGGAUCCAGAAGCGAUGCCUCCUCUUUGCCUUUUCUUUGGAGCAAGUCAACUAGGAGGAGGCCCUUGCCUUGGAUGCUCAUAGUGGACCCUAAAAGCAGCAUAGUGGUUAAGAAUAUGACCUCUGGGGCCAGAACGCCUGGAUUUGAACCUGACUCUGCCACUUGUUGCCUAUGUGACCCUCAUAAGCCUCGUACCCUCUGUGCCCCCGAUUCCUUAUCUGUAAAAUGAGGGAAGACAAUAGUACCUGCCUCACAGGACUGUUGGGAGGCUUAACUGAGUUCUUACAUAUAAAGCACUUAGAACAUAGCCUGGCACAUAAUAAGCAAUAAAUGAAUAUUAGUU